Camelina sativa (false flax) is the source of this 913-nucleotide long non-coding RNA. RefSeq lists it as uncharacterized. Lineage: Eukaryota; Viridiplantae; Streptophyta; Magnoliopsida; Brassicales; Brassicaceae. The record is from RefSeq and is a predicted model, not a curated record.
UGCUCUCAUCGUCUUCUUCCUUGAGAGAGGCGAUUUGUUGAUUCACUCCCGACGAAAUCAAGUUCAAGAGAAGAAUCAAUCAAUCUCUUGCGAGGAGAGAUCCACAGUCUCUUGAUAAGUUCUCUUCGCUUAUUUUUAUAUGAGUUUCUAGAUCUUUCUUUGCCUUUUUUGAUUUUUUCCCGUUUUAGGGUUUUCAAUUUCGAUUGUAUUGACUGACUCUGUUUUGUUCUUUUCAUCCUUUAGCGACGAUCAACCACUUCCCAGUUCCCAUGAAAUCGCCAUCUCUAGGGUUUUUGUUUCUCCGUGUUUCAUUCGGGGGAUGAAGUUGAUCAAGCCUUUGCCCGAGGGUGUUCAUCACUCCAUGCGUUCUGGAAUUAUUAGGAACCCGUGGUUCAACAGUCUCGAUGCUGGUGCGACCAAGGUUGUGGAUGAUGGAUCAGGCGUUUCCCAGAGAUGAUUUGGUUUUGUUGGGAAAAAGAUACACCACUUCAAAGUUUCAUGAUUUGGAGUCAGCCAGUGAAAAUUUUGGAUUCCGUGGAGGGGCGUUAGCUUCAGCUUCGAUAUCAGAUAAUCUCGUUACUGGAAAUCAGGACAAAAGCUAUUGGGAAGCCUAAUGGUUAUCGAAAGUUGUUCUCGGGUUUCUGAAGAUCGUCAUAAGAGUUUCAGGUUAUUCUUUAGCUCCCUUUGCAGUUUGCAUGCAGUUGUCGGGGCUUUUGUCUGUUUUCUUCAAGUGUAGCCGUGUUACCAUGUAGAUGACUAGGUGACUCGAAUUUUAUUUUUGAAGAUCGUAUAGCUGGUUGGGGUUGUCAUUUCUAUUUUGAUUAAUUUAUAUAUGAUGUUUACAUUGUUGAAAGAGCAAACUAUUUUUUCUCUAACUAGUGUGGAAUGAUUAUUACAAUGAGUGUUUUUUGUC